This 253-nucleotide ribosomal RNA is filed under the name uncultured bacterium. RNAcentral describes it as "partial 16S ribosomal RNA". It matches the Rfam family "Bacterial small subunit ribosomal RNA", at positions 524 to 776 of the family's 1533-position model. The record is from RNAcentral.
UACGGAGGGUGCAAGCGUUAAUCGGAAUGACUGGGCGUAAAGGGUGUGUAGGCGGUUUAAUAAGUUAGGUGUGAAAUACCCGGGCUUAACCUGGGAGUGUCACUUAAGACUGUUAGACUAGAGUAUGGGAGAGGGUAGUGGAAUUUCCGGUGUAGCGGUGAAAUGCGUAGAGAUCGGAAGGAACACCAGUGGCGAAGGCGGCUACCUGGCCUAAUACUGACGCUGAGACACGAAAGCAUGGGGAGCAAACAGG